ACAUUGCUUGGUUACUAGGCUGAAUUCAACAUCCUGGAGUUUUCAGGCACAGGCAGCUGUCAGCAGUAGGUCCUAUGGGGCUUGUGCCCUUUCCGAGAUGAUGUCUUUUCUUCUGUUACAAUGGGGUUGUGUACACACUGUCCUCAAUGGGAAGAUGUUCACCAUAAUACAGAGAAGAAGAAAACAUUUACUGAUGUGAAAAAUACUCAACAGAAAAAUUGGGGCUCCACCAUCCCCUGUACCCCUGCCUCGCACUACCUGACACCCAUGAUUCCUUCAGGAUACUAAUAAAAAAUGAAACAGUGCAACAACACUAAAUAAAAAAAGUCCAGUUUGGACCAAAAUAUAAACAUGCAAAAUAAAGUCCUGUUUUAACCACUGCCUG
Long non-coding RNA from Alligator sinensis (Chinese alligator), 385 nucleotides. RefSeq lists it as uncharacterized. The record is from RefSeq and is a predicted model, not a curated record. Lineage: Eukaryota; Metazoa; Chordata; Crocodylia; Alligatoridae. The transcript is spliced from 3 exons.